UCUCUGAUGCCGAAGCUGAAUCAAGUAACUGCUUUGAAAAUACCAGCAACAGAGAAACUCUUCCAAGUUUCUCGACUUCGCUGCCCAAAGCCACCUGAACUCCAUUCUUUUCGAGAUUCAACAGCUUCCUUCCGUUAUCCAGCAACCGACAAAAGACAUUCAGCUUAAUCUUAUUCACCGGCACCUUAACUGCAGACUUCUCUAGCACCGAAAUGAAGGGCUUCAGCAUCAAAUCCAGUGUCUCCACAGCAAGCGCGAGGAACUCUCUCAUCUCAUCCAAGAAUACCUCGGCCACAUGGUAGCUGACGCC
Molecule: long non-coding RNA, 310 nt
Filed under: Musa acuminata (dwarf banana)
Lineage: Eukaryota; Viridiplantae; Streptophyta; Magnoliopsida; Zingiberales; Musaceae
Description: long non-coding RNA (MACU_LNC003592)
Source: RNAcentral